Molecule: ribosomal RNA, 253 nt
Filed under: uncultured Variovorax sp.
Lineage: Bacteria; Pseudomonadati; Pseudomonadota; Betaproteobacteria; Burkholderiales; Comamonadaceae
Description: partial 16S ribosomal RNA
Rfam family: Bacterial small subunit ribosomal RNA
Source: RNAcentral
UACGUAGGGUGCAAGCGUUAAUCGGAAUUACUGGGCGUAAAGCGUGCGCAGGCGGUAAUGUAAGACAGUUGUGAAAUCCCCGGGCUCAACCUGGGAACUGCAUCUGUGACUGCAUUGCUGGAGUACGGCAGAGGGGGAUGGAAUUCCGCGUGUAGCAGUGAAAUGCGUAGAUAUGCGGAGGAACACCGAUGGCGAAGGCAAUCCCCUGGACCUGUACUGACGCUCAUGCACGAAAGCGUGGGGAGCAAACAGG